ACAUACGACCAUAGACUGAGGAGAAUUGGGCAUCCCGUCCGCUCUGCCAUACACAAGCCUCAGAUCGGUAGAUUAGUAGUUGGGUGGGUGACCACCAGCGAAUCCCUACUGUUGUAUGUU
Sclerotinia borealis F-4128 is the source of this 120-nucleotide ribosomal RNA. The record is from Rfam. Lineage: Eukaryota; Fungi; Ascomycota; Leotiomycetes; Helotiales; Sclerotiniaceae.